This 252-nucleotide ribosomal RNA is filed under the name uncultured Eubacteriales bacterium. RNAcentral describes it as "partial 16S ribosomal RNA". It matches the Rfam family "Bacterial small subunit ribosomal RNA", at positions 524 to 776 of the family's 1533-position model. Lineage: Bacteria; Bacillati; Bacillota; Clostridia; Eubacteriales. The record is from RNAcentral.
UACGUAGGGGGCGAGCGUUGUCCGGAAUCAUUGGGCGUAAAGGGUUCGUAGGCGGACUGAUAAGUCAGAUGUGAAAAGAUGUGGCUUAACCAUGUUAAGCAUUUGAAACUGUCAGUCUUGAGUGAAGGAGAGGUAAGUGGAAUUCCUAGUGUAGCGGUGAAAUGCGUAGAUAUUAGGAGGAAUACCAGUAGCGAAGGCGACUUACUGGCCUUUAACUGACGCUGAGGAACGAAAGCGUGGGUAGCAAACAGG